RNAcentral lists this long non-coding RNA (534 nucleotides) under Daucus carota (carrot). RNAcentral's name for it is "long non-coding RNA (DCAR_LNC002352)". Lineage: Eukaryota; Viridiplantae; Streptophyta; Magnoliopsida; Apiales; Apiaceae. The record is from RNAcentral.
GAAAACGAUACGUAGUCCAAUCGAUGUUACUAGUAACACCAGACCCAGAACCAGCACCACCACCAACAACAGAAUCCGCAAUCUCAUUAACCAUUUUGCUUACUACACAAUAUAACAGUUAAUCACUUCAAGAUUGUUGGGAGUCACAGUGAAAAUCACAGCAACAAUGUGUAGAGCAGUUAUAUUAUAUAAACAAGAGUAGGCCAACGAAACCACAACAAUAUAGCAUGCACGAAGAUCGUAUAUACAAUAAUCAGUGACUGAUAAAUUACAAGAAAAGAAGAGAAAGGCGCACCUUACACCGUCGCUAGAAUUAGUAUACAGAACAGCUGAGUCGCCUAGCCCUUCGAUGAAGACUAGACUGUUCUUGAAGUGAUUAUUCCCCACUACGCUGUGAUGGAGACAAUAAUCAGUGAUUGAGAAAUUACGAGAAAAGAAGAGAAAGGCGCACCUUACACCGUCGCUAGAAUUUAGUAUACAGAAUAGCUGAGUCGCCUAGCCCUUCGAUGAAGACUAGACUGUUCUUGAAGUGAU